RNAcentral lists this ribosomal RNA (602 nucleotides) under Bacillus thuringiensis. Its description in RNAcentral is "bacterial SSU rRNA". It matches the Rfam family "Bacterial small subunit ribosomal RNA", at positions 54 to 636 of the family's 1533-position model. The record is from RNAcentral. Lineage: Bacteria; Bacillati; Bacillota; Bacilli; Caryophanales; Bacillaceae.
CAUGCAAGUCGAGCGAAUGGAUUAAGAGCUUGCUCUUAUGAAGUUAGCGGCGGACGGGUGAGUAACACGUGGGUAACCUGCCCAUAAGACUGGGAUAACUCCGGGAAACCGGGGCUAAUACCGGAUAACAUUUUGAACUGCAUGGUUCGAAAUUGAAAGGCGGCUUCGGCUGUCACUUAUGGAUGGACCCGCGUCGCAUUAGCUAGUUGGUGAGGUAACGGCUCACCAAGGCAACGAUGCGUAGCCGACCUGAGAGGGUGAUCGGCCACACUGGGACUGAGACACGGCCCAGACUCCUACGGGAGGCAGCAGUAGGGAAUCUUCCGCAAUGGACGAAAGUCUGACGGAGCAACGCCGCGUGAGUGAUGAAGGCUUUCGGGUCGUAAAACUCUGUUGUUAGGGAAGAACAAGUGCUAGUUGAAUAAGCUGGCACCUUGACGGUACCUAACCAGAAAGCCACGGCUAACUACGUGCCAGCAGCCGCGGUAAUACGUAGGUGGCAAGCGUUAUCCGGAAUUAUUGGGCGUAAAGCGCGCGCAGGUGGUUUCUUAAGUCUGAUGUGAAAGCCCACGGCUCAACCGUGGAGGGUCAUUGGAAACUGG